UAGGGAAUUUUGCGCAAUGGACGAAAGUCUGACGCAGCAACGCCGCGUGCAGGAAGAAAGCCUUCGGGUCGUAAACUGCUUUUAAGGGGGACGAUUAUGACGGUACCCCUAGAAUAAGGAUCGGCUAACUCCGUGCCAGCAGCCGCGGUCAUACGGAGGAUCCAAGCGUUAUCCGGAAUUACUGGGCGUAAAGAGUUGCGUAGGCGGCAUAGUAAGCAGGCAGUGAAAGCGUGUGGCUCAACCAUACAGCUAUUGUCUGAACUGCUAAGCUAGAGCACGAGAGAGGUAACUGGAAUUCCUAGUGUAGGAGUGAAAUCCGUAGAUAUUAGGAGGAACACCGAUGGCGUAGGCAGGUUACUGGCUCGUUGCUGACGCUCAGGCACGAAAGCGUGGGGAGCGAACGGGAUUAGAUACCCCCGUAGUCC
RNAcentral lists this ribosomal RNA (425 nucleotides) under uncultured bacterium. RNAcentral's name for it is "bacterial SSU rRNA". It matches the Rfam family "Bacterial small subunit ribosomal RNA", at positions 355 to 796 of the family's 1533-position model. The record is from RNAcentral.